This 2105-nucleotide ribosomal RNA is filed under the name Clostridioides difficile. Its description in RNAcentral is "partial 23S ribosomal RNA". It matches the Rfam family "Bacterial large subunit ribosomal RNA", at positions 170 to 2297 of the family's 2925-position model. The record is from RNAcentral. Lineage: Bacteria; Bacillati; Bacillota; Clostridia; Peptostreptococcales; Peptostreptococcaceae.
CUUAAUGAGGGGAACUCAGGGAACUGAAACAUCUAAGUACCUGAAGGAAGAGAAAGAAAUUCGAUUCCGUAAGUAGCGGCGAGCGAACGCGGAUUAGCCCAAACCAAUAAAGUUUUCUUUAUUGGGGUUGCGGACAUAUCAUAACGAAGAGGUAUCGUAAUUGAAGAGGUUUGGAAAGACCCACCACAGAAGGUAAUAGUCCUGUAUGUUAAACGAGAAGACUUUAGAUAUGAUCCAGAGUACCACGGGACACGUGAAACCCUGUGGGAAGCAGGAGGGACCACCCUCCAAGGCUAAAUACUACCUAGUGACCGAUAGCGUAUAGUACCGUGAGGGAAAGGUGAAAAGAACCCCGGGAGGGGAGUGAAAUAGAACCUGAAACCCUGCACUUACAAGCUGUGGAAGCACAUUUCUUGUGUGACCGCGUACUUUUUGUAGAACGGGCCAACGAGUUACGUUAAGUAGCAAGGUUAAGCACUUAAGGUGCGGAGCCGUAGCGAAAGCGAGUUUUAACUGAGCGUUCAGUUACUUGACGUAGACCCGAAACCGGGCGACCUACCCAUGAGCAGGAUGAAGCGAAAGUAAAAUUUCGUGGAGGUCCGAACCCACGAGCGUUGAAAAGCUCGGGGAUGACUUGUGGGUAGCGGUGAAAUUCCAAUCGAGCCCGGAGAUAGCUGGUUCUCCCCGAAAUAGCUUUAGGGCUAGCCUCAAGGUGAGAGAUACGGAGGUAGAGCACUGAAUGUCCUAGGGGGUAUUGCACCUACCGAAGACUAUCAAACUCCGAAUGCCGUCAUCUUAUACUUGGGAGUCAGACUGUGGGUGAUAAGAUUCAUAGUCGAAAGGGCAACAGCCCAGAUCGUCAGCUAAGGUCCCUAAAUGUAAGUUAAGUGGUAAAGGAUGUGGGAUUGCACAGACAACCAGGAUGUUGGCUUAGAAGCAGCCACUCAUUCAAAGAGUGCGUAAUAGCUCACUGGUCGAGUGAUCCUGCGCCGAAGAUUUCCGGGGCUAAAACUUACUACCGAAGCUACGGCAUCAGUAAUGAUGGGUAGGGGAGCUUCCCAUACGGGUUGAAGCAUGACCGUAAGGACAUGUGGACAGUAUGGGAGUGAGAAUGUUGGCAUGAGUAGCGAGAUGUGGGUGAGAAUCCCACAGGCCGUAAACCCAAGGUUUCCAGGGGAAGGUUCGUCCGCCCUGGGUUAGUCGGGACCUAAGCUGAGGCCGAAAGGCGUAGGUGAUGGACAACAGGUUGAUAUUCCUGUACUACCGAUAACCGUUUGAGAGAAGGGAUGACACAGUAGGAUAAGCUAAGCACACUGUUGGUUAUGUGUGCCCAAGCAUUGAGGCAGUCAAAGUAGGCAAAUCCGCUUUGAUAAUGCUGGGAUGUGAUGGGGAGCGAAAUUUAGUAGCGAAGUAGCUGAUUUCACACUGUCAAGAAAAGUCUCUAUCGAGGUUAAAGGUACCCGUACCGCAAACCGACACAGGUGGGUGAGGAGAGUAUCCUAAGGCCAGCGAGAGAACUGUUGUUAAGGAACUCGGCAAAAUGACCCCGUAACUUAGGGAUAAGGGGUGCCACCAUCAGGUGGCCGCAGAGAAUAGGCCCAAGCGACUGUUUACCAAAAACAUAGGUUUCUGCUAAGUCGCAAGACGAUGUAUAGGAGCUGACGCCUGCCCGGUGCUGGAAGGUUAAGGGGAUCUGUUAGAGCAAUCGAAGCAGUGAACUUAAGCCCCAGUAAACGGCGGCCGUAACUAUAACGGUCCUAAGGUAGCGAAAUUCCUUGUCGGGUAAGUUCCGACCCGCACGAAAGGCGUAACGAUUUGGGCACUGUCUCAACAACAGACUCGGUGAAAUUGUAAUUCCGGUGAAGAUGCCGGAUACCUGCGACAGGACGGAAAGACCCCAUGGAGCUUUACUGUAGCUUGACAUUGGGUCUUGGUACUACAUGUACAGGAUAGGUGGGAGGCUUUGAAACCAGGACGCCAGUUUUGGCGGAGCCAUCCUUGGGAUACCACCCUUGUAGUACUGGGACUCUAACCAUAGGCCAUGAAUCUGGUCUUGGGACACUGUCAGGUGGGCAGUUUGACUGGGGCGGUCGCCUCCCAAAAGG